GGAGCUGGGGCGCUCCGAGCGCGGGAGGGGUCCUGUCCCCGCCUCUCUGCUCGCCCAGUGACGUAGCCGCGGGGGUCCCGAGCGCCUCCGGGAGCGCCUACAUCCCCUCGGUGGGGUCUCCCGCGGGGGCAGUCCUCAGCCGGGAGAACGCCCAGCGGCCGUUCCAACCCACAGGGACCCCCCCCUUGACCCGAGCGCAGGUGCGGCAGGUGCGGCAGGUGCGGCAGGUGCGGCAGGUGCGGCAGGUGCGGCAGGUGCGGCAGGUGCGGGGUCGGCACUGGGCCAGCCCCCUCCGCCGCGCGUCGGCCGGGUGGCCGCACCGUUGACCCCGGGAGCCCCCUUGCAGCAAGCCAGCACUGGAGGUCCGCAGGCCCGCGACGCUCCGCCAGCCUGAUGGGCUGAUGGAUAGGGAGGCUGUUGUUCCAACCACCCUCACGAUCCAGACUUCGGGGACAGGGAGCAAACCCAAACCGUGACCACUGGGAGGAUCACACCGCGGCCGGAAACCGAGGGGCAAGAAACAGACCUCCAUUAAUUAACCAGUUGGCCUUUGUGUUUCAAACCAAGCAGGUAUUUUGUUUAUGCUAAGCCCUGUGCCCUGUACGGGCACCCCCAGUCACACACAUUUCCAUACAGGUCAGACUAGAUAAAAGUCAACAUCUACCAUGAGGCGUGAUCUCGGAAGGGAACCCGGCCCGGGUCUCGCAGAGGGCGGGGAGGGCAGUACUAUUUAUGGAGCCUCUCCUCUGUGGGCACUUGGACAAGGUAGGCAGGACCCAGGCUCUCAGGAGCUCACACUGGUGAAGGGGCACACGGCAAAUGAUGAAAAGACCAUUUUCUAUCGCAAUGAGUAACUGAAGGAAACAGGUAAUGGGAGGGGUUCCUCACUCAGAAGUGUCAGGGAAGGCCUUGGUUAGGGGACUUGGAUCUGAGGCUUGUGUGGGUGGACAGUGAGCCGUGCAGGGGUCUGGGACAGCAACGCAAGGGCUGGACGGGAGCAAUCUUGGAAUGUUCUGGAACAGAAAGAAGACCAGCGUUGUUGGAGCUAUGCGAGGGACAAGCGUGGUACAGGAGAGAGGACGUUAGCGAAAGAAGCAGCAGCAAGUUCACAAAGGGUCUUGGAAGCCAUAGAAAGGGGCUUGGGUUUUAUUCUAAGGUCAAUGGGAAGACACCGCAGUGUUUUCAGCAGGGGAGUUGCGUGAUGCAAUCCCAUUUUUAGAAAUAUCUUGGCUUCUGUGUGGAGGAUGUAGGAUCGGGGCUCUUGACCAGGGGUGAUUGUGCCCCCCAGGGAGACAUCUGGCUCUCUCUGGAGGCAUUUUUGUGGCAAAUUGAGGGGUGGUGGUGACUCCUGGUGCCUAAUGUAGUGGAGCCCAGGGAUGCCCUAAACCUCCUACAAUGUGAAGGUCUCCCUCCCACCCCACCCCCGACAACAAAGGAUCACUCAGCCCCAAAUAUCAGCAGUACCAAGGUUGAAAAUUGUGAAGAUUCUAGCAGCUGUAGAGGACUAGAGCAUAGUCCUCCAGCUGUGAGGGGAAAGCACCCCACUUUGUAGCAGGAUUUGCUGAGGGAGAGAAUUAGAGGUAGUGACCUCUGUCAAAGGUCAAGACAGGGACUCUCAAGAAGGAGAUGUUGGUUUCAAGGAGACCUUACCUCCCUGCUGCCAAUGACUUCUGUGAUAUUUGUCCCUGAGGAAAGACAGGUGGUCCCUAGCUUAGGGUGUUAGUGACCUUGAUUCUGCAGGACCUCGUUGCCAGGGGGAGCACCUGCUACAGCCAGACACAGUGCUAAGUCAUUGCUCAUGCAACUUUUAUUUUUUUAAGAUUUUAUAUUUAUUUAUUCCUGAAAGACACACAGAGAGAGGCAGGGAGAAGCAGGCUCCCUGUGGGGAGCCCGAUGUGGGACUCGAUCCCAGGACCCCAAGGUCACACCCUGAGCCAGACGCAGAUGCUCAACUACUGAGCCACCCAUGCAACUUCACCCAUGCACCCCUCACGCAACUUCAUUUAGUGACCAGGCAGUGCCCUGGGCUGCCAGUGGAAUAGCGUCUCAGGCCAAGGGGUGCUAUAAAACCCCAAAGGCCACUGUUAAGUCUUCUGACUCAGAAAACUUGUGCUAUAAACUAAUCAUUAGGCUUUGGUGAGCUUACUCAUUGUUUUAACAUGACAGACCACGUGCAUUACAUACAGACCUUCUCUUAAUUGUGUUUGUUUUUUUGACGAACGAAAUAGUUGGUUUUCUCUGACAGGGUUUCUACUUAAUGCUUUCAUCACAAAGGUGAUAUGCAUUCAAUGUAACAUGAAAUUAUUGAAAAAUAUGUAAAGGGAAAUUUAUUAAUUUGUCAUCAUUCCUUUCCAUUGCAAUCCCAUGGGGAUAAUUAGUGUCAGCAGCCUGGUGCUGAGGUUAAUUAUUUCAUUAAUUCAUUAAUAUCAGUCUGGUGCUGAUAGUAAUACCCUUCCAGACCUUUCUGCAUUCACUGCUUCUCUCCCCCUUUCUAGUAGGCUCUGGAAGACUGGCUGGAAGGUCACUGUGGAAAAGCCAAAAGCUGGCUUGCUAGACCAUCGAUUCUCUCUCUCUCUUUUUUUUUUUUUUUAAUUUUUAUUUAUUAAUGAUAGUCACACACAGAGAGAGAGAGGGGCAGAGACACAGGCAGAGGGAGAAUCAGGCUCCAUGCACUGGGAGCCUGACGUGGGAUUCGAUCCCGGGUCUCCAGGAUUACGCCCUGGGCCAAAGGCAGGCACCAAACCGCUGCGCCACCCAGGGAUCCACCCCCCCCUUUUUUUUUUUGACCGAUUCUCUUGAAAGGAUAGAGGCUUCUGGCACCUUCCUUCUGUUUUGUUACACAUAUUCCAUAUGAAUGGUUUUGUGUAGGUUUGUCCCUUCCAAGUUCAUUUAUCUGUUUCAAAGCUGAAAUCCACACAGAGCAAGAAAGUAUCCAAAAAAAAAUUAAAAAAAAAAAAAAAA
Molecule: long non-coding RNA, 2961 nt
Filed under: Canis lupus familiaris (dog)
Lineage: Eukaryota; Metazoa; Chordata; Mammalia; Carnivora; Canidae
Description: lncRNA (ENSCAFG00000051671.1)
Source: RNAcentral